This is a long non-coding RNA of Crotalus tigris (Tiger rattlesnake), 614 nucleotides long. RefSeq lists it as uncharacterized. Lineage: Eukaryota; Metazoa; Chordata; Lepidosauria; Squamata; Viperidae. The transcript has 3 exons. The record is from RefSeq and is a predicted model, not a curated record.
GUGAAUAAAGACUAUCUGCCAGGGCCGGAGACCUGUGGCUGCUGACACCCAAGAAUUUGGCUGGCUGACUGGCCAUAGGACAUGUUUAUCCAGUGUUUCCAAGACAGGCUGAGCAACGACGUCUACAACCACCUGCAUCUCCCAGGGCACCGAAAAAGAAAAAAGCCUUGAAGCCAAAGUCAAGCAAAGGCCAUGGUGACGCUCCACUGCUUGUUUUAAGUGUGGAAAAGAGGGGCACUGGGCACCGACUGCUGAACCAGCCCUAGACCUGCGAGGAACCGGGGAAACAGUGCUGGAGGGAGUUGAAGCUGUUGCAUUCACCCUAUCAACUAACGAUGGUGCGCGAAGUCUGACCAUCCCGGUGGAAGGCCCCGUGGAGAACGACACCAACUCGGACAACUACCUCUUGUACCUCCCAGGCGGCUGGAACUUCUUGGCGAAUGGCCUCUCACGGCUGCCCCAGUACAACAGCUGUAAAGGACUAACAUCCCUGUCAAGGUGGCCCAAGGAGAGAAGCAACCCAGAACUAAGAAUUUCCUUUCAGUAAGGACAAUUAAUCAGCGGAACACUGGAAGUUUUUAAGAAGAGACUGGACAGCCAUUUGUCUGAAAUGG